Molecule: long non-coding RNA, 315 nt
Organism: Hippocampus zosterae (dwarf seahorse)
Lineage: Eukaryota; Metazoa; Chordata; Actinopteri; Syngnathiformes; Syngnathidae
Exons: 3
Source: RefSeq, a predicted model, not a curated record
CUGACUGAACCCUCUGGAGACCAUGAAUGGAAUGAGAGAUCCACUUCAUUCUUACAACAGACACCAAGUGACCUGACUGAACCCUCUGGAGACCAUGAAUGGAAUGAUAGAUACACUUCAUCCUUACAACAGACACCAAGUGUUCCGAUCCUGAUGAAACCUUUAGAAGAUCAAGAAAGGAGUGGAAGAUCCACUUCUUCCUUACAACAGGUUACUACGUCUUAUCAUUAUAUACUAGGUUUGAGUUUUCAGCUUUCUUUGACAAACACAGGAGAAGUUAUAAAUCAGAAACAUGGACUCUCCAUGAUUUCAGUC